GACGUAGGGUGCGAGCGUUGUCCGGAUUUAUUGGGCGUAAAGAGCUCGUAGGCGGUGUGUCGCGUCGGCCGUGAAAACCUGCAGCUUAACUGUGGGCGUGCGGUCGAUACGGGCAUCACUGGAGUUCGGCAGGGGAGACUGGAAUUCCUGGUGUAGCGGUGAAAUGCGCAGAUAUCAGGAGGAAUACCGGUGGCGAAGGCGGGUCUCUGGGCCGAUACUGACGCUGAGGAGCGAAAGCGUGGGGAGCAAACAGG
This 254-nucleotide ribosomal RNA is filed under the name uncultured bacterium. Its description in RNAcentral is "partial 16S ribosomal RNA". It matches the Rfam family "Bacterial small subunit ribosomal RNA", at positions 524 to 776 of the family's 1533-position model. The record is from RNAcentral.